GUGAGGAAUAUUGGUCAAUGGGCGAGAGCCUGAACCAGCCAAGUAGCGUGCAGGAUGACGGCCCUAUGGGUUGUAAACUGCUUUUACACGGGGAUAAAGUGUGCGACGUGUCGUUCAUUGCAGGUACCGUGCGAAUAAGGACCGGCUAAUUCCGUGCCAGCAGCCGCGGUAAUACGGAGGGGGCGAGCGUUGUCCGGAUUUAUUGGGUUUAAAGGGUGCGUAGGCUGGAAGGUCAGUCAGCGGUGAACAGCUAUCGCUUAACGAUAGUCUUGCCGCAGAUACUUCCUUUCUUGGAUGAGGAGGAGGCCACUGGAACGGAUGGUGUAGCGGUGAAAUGCAUAGAUAUCACGAAGAACUCCGAUUGCGAAGGCAGCUUUCCGGGGUACAUCUGACGCUGAAGCUCGAUAGUGCGGGAAUCAAACAGGAUUAGAAACCCCUGUAGUCC
This 445-nucleotide ribosomal RNA is filed under the name uncultured bacterium. Its description in RNAcentral is "partial 16S ribosomal RNA". It matches the Rfam family "Bacterial small subunit ribosomal RNA", at positions 354 to 796 of the family's 1533-position model. The record is from RNAcentral.